RNAcentral lists this transfer RNA (74 nucleotides) under alpha proteobacterium U9-1i. It matches the Rfam family "tRNA". From Rfam's summary of the family: Transfer RNA (tRNA) molecules are approximately 80 nucleotides in length. Their secondary structure includes four short double-helical elements and three loops (D, anti-codon, and T loops). Further hydrogen bonds mediate the characteristic L-shaped molecular structure. tRNAs have two regions of fundamental functional importance: the anti-codon, which is responsible for specific mRNA codon recognition, and the 3' end, to which the tRNAs corresponding amino acid is attached (by aminoacyl-tRNA synthetases). tRNAs cope with the degeneracy of the genetic code in two manners: having more than one tRNA (with a specific anti-codon) for a particular amino acid; and 'wobble' base-pairing, i.e. permitting non-standard base-pairing at the 3rd anti-codon position. The record is from Rfam by way of RNAcentral. RNAcentral also lists the same sequence under 3 other names. Lineage: Bacteria; Pseudomonadati; Pseudomonadota; Alphaproteobacteria.
GGUGGCGUAGCUCAUCUGGUUAGAGCGUGGGAUUCAUAACCCCAAGGUAGGUGGUUCAAGUCCACCCGCCACCA